UACGAAGGGGGCGAGCGUUGUUCGGAAUUACUGGGCGUAAAGGGCGCGUAGGCGGUGUGUCAAGUCAGGCGUGAAAGCCCCGGGCUCAACCUGGGAACGGCGCUUGAGACUGGCACGCUCGAGUUCGGGAGAGGAUGGUGGAAUUCCCGGUGUAGAGGUGAAAUUCGUAGAUAUCGGGAGGAACACCAGUGGCGAAGGCGGCGAUCUGGGAAGAUACUGACGCUGAGGUGCGAAAGCGUGGGGAGCAAACAGG
This 253-nucleotide ribosomal RNA is filed under the name uncultured bacterium. RNAcentral's name for it is "partial 16S ribosomal RNA". It matches the Rfam family "Bacterial small subunit ribosomal RNA", at positions 524 to 776 of the family's 1533-position model. The record is from RNAcentral.